AUGGCAGCUGCUCUCCCUUCCUGGUCACAGCUGGAGGUCAGAGGCUGGCAUCUUGGUCUGGUCUGUAAUCCCCGGGAGACUUUGAAGACCACCAGCACCCCCAAACGUGCUCUAGAGUCUCAGGGAGAGGAAGACGGUGUUGAUGAUGAAGAAGACAACAAACGAGAGAGGAAAAUGGUAUUAAUCAGAAUUAUUUUCCCCCAAUAUUUAUUUGAAAGACAACAGGGAAGGCCGGCGCCGCGGCUCACUAGGCUAAUCCUCUGCCUUGUGGCACUGGCACACCGGGUUCUAGUCCCGGUCGGGGCACCGGAUUCUGUCCCAGUUGCCUCUCUUCCAGGCCAGCUCUCUGCCAUGGCCUGGGAGUGCAGUGGAGGAUGGCCCAAGUGCUUGGGCCCUGCACCCCAUGGGAGACCAGGAGAAGCACCUGGCUCCUGCCAUCGGAUCAGCGCGGUGUGCUGGCCGCAGCGCGCCGGCCGCGGUGGCCAUUGGAGGGUGAACCAACGGCAAAAAGGAAGACCUUUCUCUCUGUCUCUCUCACUGUCCACUCUGCCUGUCAAAAAAAAAAAAAAAAAGGCACCAGGGUUACAGACAGGCAGAGAGAGAGAGAGAGAGAGAGAGAUCUUCCAUCCACUGGUUUACUCUCCAAUGGCUGCAAAGGCUGGAGCUGCACCGAUGCGAAGCCAGGAGCCUGAAGCUUCUUCCAAGUUCUUCUGGGUCUCCCACGCAGGUGCAGGGGCCCAAGGACUUGGACUGUCUUCCACUGCUUUCCCAAGUGCAUUAGCAGAGAGCUGGAUUGGAAGUGGAGCAGCCAGGACUCGAACCAGCACCCAUGUGGGAUGCCAGUGCUGCAGGCAGCAGCUUUACCUGGUGUGCCACACUGCUAGCCCCUUAACCAAAAUUCUUGGGCACAGGCUUUGGGAAGGUGGCCAGUCUGCUGGAAUUACCUCCAACAAAAUCGUAGGGAUGACUGGGCUGCUAAUUCCCUGGCAGUCACUUGAAGCAAGGGGUCAUAGGCGGGGAGUCUGGCUUUGA
RNAcentral lists this long non-coding RNA (1032 nucleotides) under Oryctolagus cuniculus (rabbit). Its description in RNAcentral is "lncRNA (ENSOCUG00000029851.1)". Lineage: Eukaryota; Metazoa; Chordata; Mammalia; Lagomorpha; Leporidae. The record is from RNAcentral.